Molecule: ribosomal RNA, 687 nt
Filed under: uncultured Actinomycetales bacterium
Lineage: Bacteria; Bacillati; Actinomycetota; Actinomycetes; Actinomycetales
Description: bacterial SSU rRNA
Rfam family: Bacterial small subunit ribosomal RNA
Source: RNAcentral
CAAGUCGAACGGAAAGGCCCUGCUUGCAGGGUACUCGAGUGGCGAACGGGUGAGCAACACGUGGGUGAUCUGCCCUGCACUUCGGGAUAAGCUUGGGAAACUGGGUCUAAUACCGGAUAGGAACCAUCUUUAGUGUGGUGGUUGGAAAGUUUUUUCGGUGUAGGAUGAGCUCGCGGCCUAUCAGCUUGUUGGUGGGGUAAUGGCCUACCAAGGCGGCGACGGGUAGCCGGCCUGAGAGGGUGUACGGCCACAUUGGGACUGAGAUACGGCCCAGACUCCUACGGGAGGCAGCAGUGGGGAAUAUUGCACAAUGGGCGCAAGCCUGAUGCAGCGACGCCGCGUGGGGGAUGAAGGCCUUCGGGUUGUAAACUCCUUUCGCUAGGGACGAAGCUUUUUGUGACGGUACCUAGAUAAGAAGCACCGGCUAACUACGUGCCAGCAGCCGCGGUAAUACGUAGGGUGCGAGCGUUGUCCGGAAUUACUGGGCGUAAAGGGCUCGUAGGUGGUUUGUCGCGUCGUCUGUGAAAUUCUGGGGCUUAACUCCGGGCGUGCAGGCGAUACGGGCAUAACUUGAGUGCUGUAGGGGUAACUGGAAUUCCUGGUGUAGCGGUGAAAUGCGCAGAUAUCAGGAGGAACACCGAUGGCGAAGGCAGGUUACUGGGCAGUUACUGACGCUGAGGAGCGAAA